Molecule: ribosomal RNA, 496 nt
Filed under: uncultured bacterium
Lineage: Bacteria
Description: partial 16S ribosomal RNA
Rfam family: Bacterial small subunit ribosomal RNA
Source: RNAcentral
GAUGAACGCUGGCGGCGUGCCUAAUACAUGCAAGUCGAGCGAACAGACGAGGAGCUUGCUCCUCUGACGUUAGCGGCGGACGGGUGAGUAACACGUGGAUAACCUACCUAUAAGACUGGGAUAACUUCGGGAAACCGGAGCUAAUACCGGAUAAUAUAUUGAACCGCAUGGUUCAAUAGUGAAAGACGGUUUUGCUGUCACUUAUAGAUGGAUCCGCGCCGCAUUAGCUAGUUGGUAAGGUAACGGCUUACCAAGGCAACGAUGCGUAGCCGACCUGAGAGGGUGAUCGGCCACACUGGAACUGAGACACGGUACAGACUCCUACGGGAGGCAGCAGUAGGGAAUCUUCCGCAAUGGGCGAAAGCCUGACGGAGCAACGCCGCGUGAGUGAUGAAGGUCUUCGGAUCGUAAAACUCUGUUAUUAGGGAAGAACAAAUGUGUAAGUAACUAUGCACGUCUUGACGGUACCUAAUCAGAAAGCCACGGCUAACUACGU